Long non-coding RNA from Triticum dicoccoides, 1490 nucleotides. RefSeq lists it as uncharacterized. The record is from RefSeq and is a predicted model, not a curated record. Lineage: Eukaryota; Viridiplantae; Streptophyta; Magnoliopsida; Poales; Poaceae. The transcript is spliced from 3 exons.
GCUGCUACUUUAGCGAGUGUUUCACUUCAACACAGAUUGAUGCAAGAAAGAAAGAAUUCUUUUGCAAUAAAGCAAGCAUUGAGUGCCCAAAGCAGGAGAGCUUGAAUUUUUUGCCGACGUAAAUUUAAGGUCGUCACACAUUACAGAAAACUAUUUUCCAUUCUGUGUCUCUAUGCUCAUUUUGUGCCCGGGUGCAGCUGUGAAGGAACACUACAGGUAGAGAAGAAAGAAAGGAAGAAUGAUGGUAAGAACCACUGAGAUACCGAGUCCGGCCAGCCAGAUGAGUAUCAGGAGUGUUUCUUCAUUGGAAGUGAUGACAAAAAUUGUCCUUUAGAGUAUAUUAGUUGUUUAAUCAUCAAUGAGUAGACUAACGCAUACAUUUUUUUUGGACUGCACCCAUAUAGUUUGUCUUUGCUGAAUAUACUAUAUUUACUUCAUUUCUCUAUUGAGUUAGCAAUGGCAAUAUGAUUGAUUUAUAUACUAUAUAAUUUGCACCCAUAUAAUGAUCAAUUAACCAUGUUUCUCUAUAUAAUUUGUCUUUGCUGAAUAUACUAUAUUUGUUUGGUCUGCACCCAUAUAAUGAUCAAUUAACUCCUGAAAAUACCCUUUCCAGACAUAAUUUCUUUUCAUCAUUGUUAAGGCUGAUUUUACCUAUUUCACUUAAAUGGCGACCUCCCUGCACUCCCAUUUUUCUGCUUAGGAUUCUCAUUUAAUUGGUGAGCACUCAGAUUUGGAAUAUCAGCUCUUUAGUACUGGUUUAUCAUUUUAAGAAAAUAGGAGCAAUGUGAUUUUGUUCUCUAGAGACUAGAAUUGAAUAGUUAGUCCUUUUAGUACUAUCCUACUACCAUUUGUAGCUAACAGAUGCAUCAGUUCGACUAGGCAUUAUCAUGUAUUGUACCGUAGUAUCUUUUUUGCAUAGAGUAAAUACCUACUUCUGCUGCAGGUUACUUUUCUUUAUAAAAUUUGGUUCAGGAUGCCGUUUUACCUGUUGUAAUACCUUCAGCAUAGAAGCAGUAGUGGUCUGCUCCUCCAAAGAUCUAUAGCUUGUGGAUGCGGCGGAUGUGGCACAGGGAGCAGAUGAAUUGGGAAUAAGAGGACCCCCGGCGCGCGCACAAAUUGUUUCUACCUGACGGCUGAUAGUGAGGAUGCCUCUGACCUGUCCCGAGAAGGUUCGAGCCGAAGUACGACUUGUACAACGCAUCACCAAUUCGUCCGACAGUGUAAAAUGCGUUUGUGUUAGCUGAGUGAAAAUUAGAGAUCAGCCUGGUGGUACUUUAUUAUUUUAUUCUAUAGCUUGAUCUGCCAAAUGCUAUUAAGGAAAUGAAGUUUCUUCCUCGAUCAAGUUAUCAAUCCUUAUUGGGUGUAUGCUUCCUACUCAACACCUGAAUAAUCAAUUUGUACAUGCUCAUAUAUAUUAAUAUGCUAUUUUGUUGGUGCAUAAGAAAUAAUACAUGCAUGUGUAAUCUACAAUUUCAGUGAGCUAAAACCCU